This is a long non-coding RNA of Odocoileus virginianus texanus, 431 nucleotides long. RefSeq lists it as uncharacterized. The record is from RefSeq and is a predicted model, not a curated record. NCBI's taxonomy places the organism in Eukaryota, Metazoa, Chordata, Mammalia, Artiodactyla, Cervidae.
UCUCCCCCGGCAACAGGAAGGAAACCGACGUGCAUCUCCUGCCAGACGUAUGAGUGCCUCUCUUUAAAAUUCCUCCAAUGCGUGCUCUCCCCAGGGAGCAUGCCCUGCGUCGGGCGCACCAGACGCGCUGCCCCUGGCUCAGUUGCCCUGUUCACUGAGCAUUCAGGCUUAAGGUUAUACCUGGGAAACUUCAGAAGAGAUUACGACGCAGCGGGGAAGAGGAGGCCACUCAGAACUGUGCCGACAAAGCCAGCAGCUCCGAGAGGAAGGCGGAGGAGUCUGGAAGGCUGGGGAGGAAGGUGCCAGCAGGUGGGAGAUGCCACUUUCCCUUCGAAGCCCUGCAUGACGCGCUCUUCGCCCCUCAUGGGGCUCUUCUCCAGAGCUGCCAAGAAUUCUGGGCACCCAGGCAAACAGUUGACUAAUUAAAACAA